RNAcentral lists this transfer RNA (72 nucleotides) under Ovis aries (sheep). It matches the Rfam family "tRNA". Rfam says of the family: Transfer RNA (tRNA) molecules are approximately 80 nucleotides in length. Their secondary structure includes four short double-helical elements and three loops (D, anti-codon, and T loops). Lineage: Eukaryota; Metazoa; Chordata; Mammalia; Artiodactyla; Bovidae. The record is from Rfam by way of RNAcentral.
UCCCUGACGGUCAAGUGGUUAGGGCUCAGCACUUUCAUUGCUGGGGCCUGGGUUCCAUCCCUGGUUGGGAAA